This 821-nucleotide ribosomal RNA is filed under the name Distoseptispora septata. RNAcentral's name for it is "Distoseptispora sp. RZ-2022c partial large subunit ribosomal RNA". It matches the Rfam family "Eukaryotic large subunit ribosomal RNA", at positions 77 to 944 of the family's 3401-position model. The record is from RNAcentral. Lineage: Eukaryota; Fungi; Ascomycota; Sordariomycetes; Distoseptisporaceae.
GCCCCAGUAACGGCGAGUGAAGCGGCAACAGCUCAGAUUUGAAAUCUGGCCCUUACGGGGUCCGAGUUGUAAUCUGUAGAGGAUGCUUUUGGCGACGCGCCUUCCGAGUCCCCUGGAACGGGGCGCCAGAGAGGGUGAGAGCCCCGUAUGGUUGGACGCCGAACCUUUGUAAAGCUCCUUCGACGAGUCGAGUAGUUUGGGAAUGCUGCUCAAAAUGGGAGGUAAAUUUCUUCUAAAGCUAAAUACCGGCCAGAGACCGAUAGCGCACAAGUAGAGUGAUCGAAAGAUGAAAAGCACUUUGAAAAGAGGGUUAAAUAGCACGUGAAAUUGCUGAAAGGGAAGCGCUUGUGACCAGACUUGCGCCCGGUUGAUCAUCCAGCGUUCUCGCUGGUGCACUCUGCCGGGCUCAGGCCAGCAUCGGCUCUCCCAGGGGGAUAAAGGUCGCGGGAACGUAGCUCUCUCCGGGGAGUGUUAUAGCCCGUGGCGGAAUGCCCUUAGGGGGGGCCGAGGCUCGCGUUCGCAAGGAUGCUGGCGUAAUGGUCACCAGCGACCCGUCUUGAAACACGGACCAAGGAGUCAAGCAUUAGGGCGAGUCUUUGGGUGCAAAACCCGCAGGCGCAAUGAAAGUGAACGGAGGUGAGAGCUUCGGCGCAUCAUCGACCGAUCCUGAUGUUCUCGGAUGGAUUUGAGUAAGAGCCUUACCGCUUGGACCCGAAAGGUUAGUCAACAAACUUUUUCUUUUGAGAACUACAAAACACAAAUUUACACCGGCCUAUCGAAAUCUGUUUAUAUAAUAUAUAUCCGUGGACAUGAUUCCCCCC